Molecule: long non-coding RNA, 1269 nt
Organism: Cyprinus carpio (common carp)
Lineage: Eukaryota; Metazoa; Chordata; Actinopteri; Cypriniformes; Cyprinidae
Source: Ensembl
CUGUAUAUAGGAGUUUACUUGAUCAGCAUCACAAAUUUGCUUACAUUUGAUUAGUUUUUAUUGAAAUAUAAGCUUAGCUUAUGUUUCUAGAAACAAAAUAGCUGCUUGAGGGCAUUGCCAAGAGUAUAGUAUAUGAUGUGCCUUAAACAACUGAUCUUGGCUCCAUCCAUCUCUUGAUUUCAAUAUUUAAUUAGCAAAAGACCAACAAUAAUAAUAAUAAUAAAAAAUGUUCAAGAGUUCAAGUGACAGGGUAACACUUGGAGAUGUGUGAUGGGGCAAAAUAGCAGAAAUAAGAGUGUGGGCCAGUGAAGACAGUUACCUGCUGACUGACUGAACUAUGCUGAGAUUUCAGCCUGGACACGUCCUCCUCCAGCUGCUGGAUCUGCUUAGUCUGUGAACACACAUGCACAAAGAUCAUGAAAUUCGCAUCACAAUUGUUUACCAUCAAACACAGAAAUGUUUUGAGAAGGAGACAAUAACCAGAGCAAAAAUGGUAGCUCAGAAGAAAACAGAGCAGGGAGAAAAUGGCUGCACUGUUCUGUCAUAAUGAGAAGCGGAGGUGUGUGUGUGUGUGUGUGUGUGUCGGGUUCCCCUGCUCUGCUCUCAUCACAUCUGCUGUCAGUAAUCUGUUCCUGAGCAAGCAGUGCUGGGAUUAAGUGCAUGCUGCAGAUAAAGGAUGUAUGCGUCAUUAAAACACACAAGACAGACACGUACACACUCACAGAACCACCGGGCGUGAAGGGGAGUCAGAACCAGGUGGAGAACGACCAGCCAGGACAAAACGAGGAGCUCCUUCCUAAACGAGGGACUACAUCUGUAGCAUGGACACGCGUUUUUAAGCACUGCAGUUUCAACCGAUUUUAACUCAUUGAAACACACAAACAAAUAACAGAGCUAUAUGCGUGCGCCAUCUCUGUUUCUGUGUGAGAGGAGCUCACAUUUUUUUGCUGCAUUAUUGGCUUUGAACGAUUACACACUUAUAUGUGUCAGAAUCCCUGUCUUUGCAAGUAUCCUCAUAAAUGCAGUGAUUUAGGUGGUAAGAUAGAGUAAACAGCUGAAAAAGAAAAUGCAUAUGUAACAGUAUAUUGGAUCCGGACUUUGUCUUAAAGGGGAAGCUGUCCAAUGUUCAUCCUGUUAUCAUGAUAUAAAAUUAGUCAUAUCGUGAUUGGUUCCAAUUAUUAUAUUUUUUAUUAUUAUUAUUUUACUACUAUUCAUAUGUCAGGGGUUACAGGGAUAAUUCAUGUACUAUAGUAUUGUUCUAAAUACUGA